UACAGAGGAGCCAAGCGUUGUCCGGAUUGACUGGGCGUUAAGCGCACGCAGGCGGACGCGCGCGUGGGGUGUGAAAUCUGGCCGCUUAACGGCCAGGCGCCAUCCCAUACGGCGCGUCUGGAGUGAUGCAGAGGUCGGUGGAAUUGCCGGUGUAGUGGUGAAAUGCGUAGAUAUCGUAAGGAAGACCAGUGGCGAAGGCGGGUCUCUGGACAGUUCCUGACACUGAGACACGAAGGCCAGGGGAGCAAACGGG
RNAcentral lists this ribosomal RNA (253 nucleotides) under uncultured bacterium. RNAcentral's name for it is "partial 16S ribosomal RNA". It matches the Rfam family "Bacterial small subunit ribosomal RNA", at positions 524 to 776 of the family's 1533-position model. The record is from RNAcentral.